RNAcentral lists this long non-coding RNA (1065 nucleotides) under Lynx canadensis (Canada lynx). RNAcentral's name for it is "lncRNA (ENSLCNG00005012139.1)". The record is from RNAcentral. Lineage: Eukaryota; Metazoa; Chordata; Mammalia; Carnivora; Felidae.
AUGUUUGCUGACCUCGAUCUGGAAGGUGGCGUACUCACAGAUGCAAGAGGCCAAGCGGGCCAGACUCUGGCGCCCGCUGCCCCCAAUGCCCACCAACAGCAUGUUGCCCCGAGGCUGUCCGAUGACCCGCACGAUCCGUGUGACUGGGGGGCGGGAGACGAGGGCGGUGAGGCCUCUGGGACACCCCGGGGGACCACCGGGCCCUACGCUAGAGACCUAGGGACCGGGGUGCCCGAAACUGAAGUACAGGGACCGCGAAGCGGGGGGAGCGGCCGGUGCCUGAGGCCGAGGCAGCGAGUCCACCGCGAGCGCAGCCCUGUCUGCCCGACACCACAUCCUCGUCGUGGAGGAAGAGCCCCACCGUCGCCACUGGCCACCUGGGGCCAGAAAGGAAAGCAGCUCCCGGGACUCGCUCGGGAAGAGCCCACGCCGGGAGCUGGGGCGCGGCCGGGCCGGGUGGAGGAAGUGCUCACUGUGUUCGAUAGCCUCCCGGAAGAGUACCAGCUGCAUGGGGACGACGGCGGGGGACAGGUUGUACUCCCUGAGGGCCGUCUCCAUGGCCGCCUUCAGCGCAGCCAGGUCUGUGAGGUCCUCGUACACCUUGGGCUCCCGCAUGAAGUCCCCUGGGCCGCGGGAAGCGGGCUCAGAUCUCCAUGGCCCGGUCGUGGCCAGGCUCCCCCAGGGACCCCAUGGCCCAGCCCUCCCCCCGGGGGGCCUCCCAACACCCCGCAGCCCGAGGCGGGGGGCGCCAGCUCACCAAAGACGGGAGGACGUUUGUUGGGACAAAGAUUAUGCAACGUGAGGUCAAAGAAGGAGCCAAGUUUGUCGCUGAUGAUGCCCACGAAGGCCUCCAGGUCUGCAGCAUCCACCAGCCGGUCAGAGAAGACUCUGUCGGGAGGGAGUGGGGUGAGGCUGGGGCAUACGGGGGAGGGGGCCCCCUGGGCGGGUGGGGUGGGGGCGGGGCAUACGGAGGAGGAAGGGCCCCCUGGGCCGGUGGUGGCACGGGCGUCGCACCUGAAACACUCAUGGAUCCAGAGUCGUGUGAUGCUGGACUUGGUGUCGUGA